GUGCCAGCAGCCGCGGUAAUACGGAAGGUCCGGGCGUUAUCCGGAUUUAUUGGGUUUAAAGGGAGCGCAGCGGGCCUUUAAGCGUGUUGUGAAAUGUACCGGCUCAACCGGUGAACUGCAGCGCGAACUGGAGGUCUUGAGUGAGUACGAUGUAGGCGGAAUUUGUGGUGUAGCGGUGAAAUGCUUAGAUAUCACGAAGAACUCCGAUUGCGAAGGCAGCCUACAAGUCCUUUACUGACGCUAAAGCUCGAAGGUGCGGGUAUCGAACAGGAUUAGAUACCCUGGUAGUCCGCACGGUAAACGAUGGAUGCCCGCUGUUGGCGAUACAAUGUCAGCGGCCAAGAGAAAUCGUUAAGCAUCCCACCUGGGGAGUACGCCGGCAACGGUGAAACUCAAAGGAAUUGACGGGGGCCCGCACAAGCGGAGGAACAUGUGGUUUAAUUCGAUGAUACGCGAGGAACCUUACCCGGGCUUGAACUGCACAGGACGGCGGUGGAGACACCAACUCCCUUCGGGGCCUGUGUGGAGGUGCUGCAUGGUUGUCGUCAGCUCGUGCCGUGAGGUGUCGGCUUAAGUGCCAUAACGAGCGCAACCCUUCUCUUCAGUUGCCAUCAGUUUUAGGCUGGGCACUCUGGAGACACUGCCACCGUAAGGUGUGAGGAAGGUGGGGAUGACGUCAAAUCAGCACGGCCCUUACGUCCGGGGCUACACACGUGUUACAAUGGGUGGUACAGAGAGUCGGUUGCCGGCAACGGCGAUCCAAUCCUUAAAGCCAUCCUCAGUUCGGAUUGGGUCUGCAACCCGACCCCAUGAAGCUGGAUUCGCUAGUAAUCGCGCAUCAGCCAUGGCGCGGUGAAUACGUUCCCGGGCCUUGUACACACCGCCCGU
Molecule: ribosomal RNA, 888 nt
Filed under: uncultured bacterium
Lineage: Bacteria
Description: bacterial SSU rRNA
Rfam family: Bacterial small subunit ribosomal RNA
Source: RNAcentral